GAUGAACGCUGGCGGCGUGCCUAAUACAUGCAAGUCGAGCGAACAGAUGAGGAGCUUGCUCCUCUGACGCUAGCGGCGGACGGGUGAGUAACACGUGGAUAACCUACCUAUAAGACUGGGAUAACUUCGGGAAACCGGAGCUAAUACCGGAUAAUAUAUUGAACCGCAUGGUUCAAUAGUGAAAGACGGUUUUGCUGUCACUUAUAGAUGGAUCCGCGCCGCAUUAGCUAGUUGGUAAGGUAACGGCUUACCAAGGCAACGAUGCGUAGCCGACCUGAGAGGGUGAUCGGCCACACUGGAACUGAGACACGGUCCAGACUCCUACGGGAGGCAGCAGUAGGGAAUCUUCCGCAAUGGGCGAAAGCCUGACGGAGCAACGCCGCGUGAGUGCUGAAGGUCUUCGGAUCGUAAAACUCUGUUAUUAGGGAAGAACAAAUGUGUAAGUAACUAUGCACGUCUUGACGGUACCUAAUCAGAAAGCCACGGCUAACUACGUG
RNAcentral lists this ribosomal RNA (497 nucleotides) under uncultured bacterium. Its description in RNAcentral is "partial 16S ribosomal RNA". It matches the Rfam family "Bacterial small subunit ribosomal RNA", at positions 28 to 507 of the family's 1533-position model. The record is from RNAcentral.